This 73-nucleotide transfer RNA is filed under the name Ligilactobacillus ruminis SPM0211. RNAcentral's name for it is "Lactobacillus ruminis SPM0211 tRNA-Met". It matches the Rfam family "tRNA". Rfam says of the family: Transfer RNA (tRNA) molecules are approximately 80 nucleotides in length. Their secondary structure includes four short double-helical elements and three loops (D, anti-codon, and T loops). Lineage: Bacteria; Bacillati; Bacillota; Bacilli; Lactobacillales; Lactobacillaceae. The record is from RNAcentral.
GGACCCUUAGCUCAGUCGGCAGAGCAGACGGAUCAUAACCGUCCGGUCGCAGGUUCGAGCCCUGCAGGGUCCA